Molecule: long non-coding RNA, 363 nt
Organism: Calidris pugnax (ruff)
Lineage: Eukaryota; Metazoa; Chordata; Aves; Charadriiformes; Scolopacidae
Exons: 3
Source: RefSeq, a predicted model, not a curated record
AACUGGCAGAAUGAAAAAGGUCAAGGUGCCGCUUUUUUCCUGGAUCGCUCUCUUAGUUAAUUUGAUAGAAAACACCAUCUGAGGUUUCUGCUUCGAGAGCAAAAAACACUUUUGGUAAAUGUCUUUUCCAGAAGGACAUAUCACUCCAAUCUUGAAAACGAGCUAAACUCAGCAACGAGGCUGCAGAAACUUUCGUUUCUCUUCAGGAAUAUCAUACCUCUCCAGUGACUUGUGAGCUGGUAUGUGAACAAAGGGAGGCCGUUAAAUCGUGCUGCUGGGAACCAUACGGGCAGUAGUCUCUCCAGUCAAAGAAGCUCCUGUGCUCUGCUCUUCUGUUUUCAGAUACUUAACUUUAAAAAAAAG